Molecule: ribosomal RNA, 381 nt
Filed under: uncultured marine Chaetocerotaceae
Lineage: Eukaryota; Bacillariophyta; Thalassiosirophyceae; Chaetocerotales; Chaetocerotaceae
Description: SSU rRNA
Rfam family: Eukaryotic small subunit ribosomal RNA
Source: RNAcentral
AGCUCCAAUAGCGUAUAUUAAAGUUGCUGCAGUUAAAAAGCUCGUAGUUGCAUUUCCGAGGCAAGGGAUUAGUCCGACCUUUGGUGGGUAUUUAAUCCUCUUGCCUCGUCCUUGAGUGGUGCUUCUUGGUAUUAAGUUAUCGAGGAGAUAGCCGCUCAUCGUUUACUGUGAGAAAAUUAGAGUGUUCAAAGCAGGCUUAUGCCGUUGAAUAUAUUAGCAUGGAAUAAUAAGAUAGGACCUCGGUACUAUUUUGUUGGUUUGAGAACCAAGGUAAUGAUGAAUAGGGACAGUUGGGGGUAUUCGUAUUUAACUGUCAGAGGUGAAAUUCUUAGAUUUACGGAAGACGAACUACUGCGAAAGCAUUUACCAAGGAUGUUUUCA